This 254-nucleotide unclassified non-coding RNA is filed under the name Hevea brasiliensis (rubber tree). The record is from RNAcentral. Lineage: Eukaryota; Viridiplantae; Streptophyta; Magnoliopsida; Malpighiales; Euphorbiaceae.
AAAUAACGAUAAUAGUCUCCUUUCCUGUCCCAAAAAGAAAACAAAAGGAUUUCACAAAUGCAUCAGAAGGGAAUAGUGUAAUAUUGAAAAUUACAAAAUUAGAAAUAUACAUCUACAUGCAGAUUCUGUUCCAGUAGACAGACUAGAAAGAAUAAAAUGCAGUCCAUAACCAAAUGUAUGACAACAAACUCAAAUAAAAAGCAGUGUGAAUUAAAAGAUCCCAAAUAUAAUUUUUAGACCAAAAUCCCCUUCAU